Molecule: ribosomal RNA, 421 nt
Filed under: uncultured bacterium
Lineage: Bacteria
Description: bacterial SSU rRNA
Rfam family: Bacterial small subunit ribosomal RNA
Source: RNAcentral
GAGGAAUAUUGGGCAAUGCCCGCAAGGGUGACCCAGCAACGCCGCGUGGAGGAUGAAUGUCGUAAGAUUGUAAACUCCUGUUAGAGGGGAAGAAUAGUACCGGUUGGACCGGUAUAUGACUGUACCCUCAGAGAAAGCCCCGGCUAACUACGUGCCAGCAGCCGCGGUAAUACGUAGGGGGCAAGCGUUGUCCGGAUUUACUGGGUGUAAAGGGCGCGCAGGCGGGAUAAAAAGUCAGUGGUGAAGUCCUACAGCUUAACUGUAGAACUGCCUUUGAUACUUUUAUUCUUGAGUUCGGGAGAGAGAGACGGAAUUCCAGGUGUAGUGGUGAAAUACGUAGAUAUCUGGAAGAACACCAGUUGCGAAGGCGGUCUCUUGGUCCGACACUGACGCUGAGGCGCGAAAGCGUGGGGAGCAAACA